GACGAACGCUGGCGGCGUGCUUAACACAUGCAAGUCGAACGGGAAGGCCCUGCUUUUGUGGGGUGCUCGAGUGGCGAACGGGUGAGUAACACGUGAGUAACCUGCCCUUGACUUUGGGAUAACUUCAGGAAACUGGGGCUAAUACCGGCUAGGAGCUCCUGCUGCAUGGUGGGGGUUGGAAAGUUUCGGCGGUUGGGGAUGGACUGGCGGCUUAUCAGCUUGUUGGUGGGGUAGUGGCUUACCAAGGCUUUGACGGGUAGCCGGCCUGAGCGGGUGACAGGCCCAACUGGGCUUGGGCUACGGCCCAGACUACUACGGGAGGCAGGAGUGGGGAAGAGUGUACAAGGGGAGGAAGGCAGAUGUAGCAAAGCCGUGUGCGGGAAGACGGCCUUCGGGUUGUAAACUGAUUCCGCCUGUGACGAAGCGUGAGUGACGGUAACGGGUAAAGAAGCACCGGCUAACUCCGUG
Molecule: ribosomal RNA, 468 nt
Filed under: uncultured bacterium
Lineage: Bacteria
Description: partial 16S ribosomal RNA
Rfam family: Bacterial small subunit ribosomal RNA
Source: RNAcentral